CCUACGGGAGGCAGCAGUGGGGAAUCUUGCGCAAUGGGCGAAAGCCUGACGCAGCCAUGCCGCGUGAAUGAUGAAGGUCUUAGGAUUGUAAAAUUCUUUCACCGGGGACGAUAAUGACGGUACCCGGAGAAGAAGCCCCGGCUAACUUCGUGCCAGCAGCCGCGGUAAUACGAAGGGGGCUAGCGUUGCUCGGAAUUACUGGGCGUAAAGGGAGCGUAGGCGGAUAGUUUAGUCAGAGGUGAAAGCCCAGGGCUCGACCUUGGAAUUGCCUUUGAUACUGGCUAUCUUGAGUACGGAAGAGGUAUGUGGAACUCCGAGUGUAGAGGUGAAAUUCGUAGAUAUUCGGAAGAACACCAGUGGCGAAGGCGACAUACUGGUCCGUUACUGACGCUGAGGCUCGAAAGCGUGGGGAGCAAACAGGAUUAGAUACCCUGGUAGUCCACGCUGUAAACGAUGAGUGCUAGUUGUCGGCAUGCAUGCAUGUCGGUGACGCAGCUAACGCAUUAAGCACUCCGCCUGGGGAGUACGGUCGCAAGAUUAAAACUCAAAGAGUAGUGCGNGNGAGAGCGACGACGACGACGACGGAGGAGG
RNAcentral lists this ribosomal RNA (591 nucleotides) under uncultured bacterium. Its description in RNAcentral is "bacterial SSU rRNA". It matches the Rfam family "Bacterial small subunit ribosomal RNA", at positions 338 to 944 of the family's 1533-position model. The record is from RNAcentral.